AGUGGCGGACGGGUGAGUAACGCGUGAGUAACCUGCCUUUCAGAGGGGGAUAACGUUUGGAAACGAACGCUAAUACCGCAUAACAUAUCGUUGUCGCAUGGCAGUGAUAUCAAAGGAGCAAUCCGCUGAAAGAUGGACUCGCGUCUGAUUAGAUAGUUGGCGGGGUAACGGCCCACCAAGUCGACGAUCAGUAGCCGGACUGAGAGGUUGAACGGCCACAUUGGGACUGAGACACGGCCCAGACUCCUACGGGAGGCAGCAGUGAGGGAUAUUGCACAAUGGGCGCAAGCCUGAUGCAGCCAACGCCGCGUGAAGGAUGAACGGUUUUCGGAUUGUAAACUUCUGUUCUUAGUGAUGAUAAUGACAUUAGCUAAGGAGAAAGCCACGGCUAACUACGUGCCAGCAGCGGC
Molecule: ribosomal RNA, 410 nt
Filed under: uncultured bacterium
Lineage: Bacteria
Description: bacterial SSU rRNA
Rfam family: Bacterial small subunit ribosomal RNA
Source: RNAcentral